AGGACGAACGCUGGCGGCGUGCUUAACACAUGCAAGUCACGGGGGCUCGCAAGGGCAACCGGCGAACGGGUGCGUAACACGUGAGCAACCUGCCGAUCUGAGGGGGAUAGCCGGCCCAACGGCCGGGUAAUACCGCAUACGCUUGUGGGGUCUCAUGACCGUACAAGGAAACCUCCGGGGCAGAUCGAGGGGCUCGCGGCCUAUCAGCUAGUUGGCGGUGUAAUGGACCACCAAGGCGACGACGGGUAGCUGGU
RNAcentral lists this ribosomal RNA (254 nucleotides) under uncultured bacterium. RNAcentral's name for it is "partial small subunit ribosomal RNA". It matches the Rfam family "Bacterial small subunit ribosomal RNA", at positions 26 to 291 of the family's 1533-position model. The record is from RNAcentral.